Molecule: long non-coding RNA, 233 nt
Filed under: Homo sapiens (human)
Lineage: Eukaryota; Metazoa; Chordata; Mammalia; Primates; Hominidae
Description: HSALNT0132485
Source: RNAcentral
CGUCCCAUGCAAGGGAAACAACCACUUCUGGGAUGUCCGCUGCAAUCUGCUCCGGGGCUGCAGCAACCUCAUCAGCUCUUGCCUGGAGUGGCUCAGCCUGGGCCUGCAGGGAUGGCGAGGAUCCUCUAGCUAGGCAGGGUGACCAGAGAGGGCAGACAGCAGUCCUCUGUCCCAGGUCUUCUAUAGCAAGGAGCAGCCGUGCACAAGUGGACUUCCCCUAUUUAAAGGUCUUU